Oncorhynchus gorbuscha (pink salmon) is the source of this 1918-nucleotide long non-coding RNA. RefSeq lists it as uncharacterized. The record is from RefSeq and is a predicted model, not a curated record. The transcript has 4 exons. Lineage: Eukaryota; Metazoa; Chordata; Actinopteri; Salmoniformes; Salmonidae.
UACUGUAGCCAACCUCUGGCGAAACCAACAUGGCAUCUGAUAGCUACCCAUUACACGAGGGCAGGAAAAAUAAGAGUGAUGGGGUGUAAAGAGCAAAGGCUGAUGUCCUGAAGGUCCAGGUGGACAUUGAGGAGCUCACAGCCUCUGGCCACAUUGCCCUAAAGUAAGGGGACUGUGAAGAAGCCCUCAGCCUCUUCAAAAAGGCCUUCAAAGCUUCCAUAGAGCUAAAGGAGACCAGGGUCCAGGUGGCAUGUGCCUUUAACCUGGGAGCUGCCUACGUGGAGGCGGGUAAAGCCCUGAAGGGGCUGGACUUCCUGAAGAGGUCCCAGCCAGGAGAGAGGGGCGAGCGGAUAGCAGACCUCCAGUUCAACCUGGCCGUAGCCCAUGAGCCCCUGGGGAACCACAGCCAGGCAGCUGUUCACUGCCUCCAGGCAGCCCAGCUGUACCGCUCCCAGGGGGACGGGGCCAGUGAGGGGGAGACCUGCAUGAAAAUGUCCCACUGUCACCUGCUCCUAAAGGACUGGACCCAGGCAGCUUAGAGCUUCCAGAGGGAUGGCAGGCAAGCUGGACUCAGCCGCCACGGCCUUCAAAUAGGUAGGGAGUCACAUGCUCCAAUCAAAUGACUUCACCAUGGAUGAUAUCAUCACCGUGCUCACUGAUUACCUCGAGCUGAGCAACAACAUCAAAAACCCAGAGUUCCUCAGUAGGUAAACUGUCAGAUUAACUGAAUUGAGGAAAAAACAAAUGAGUAACAGCGUUGUCAGUCAACAAUUUGGUCACAGUUUUGUGACUUUAUCCCUCAGCCUUUCAGGUAAGGUGUACAAUGACCUGGGCCUGAGUUUCUCCCAGCUGAAGUUGUUCCAGGAGGCAGCCUGGUGCUAUGAGCGGGCCCUGCCCCUGGCCAGCAUCAGGCCCAAAAGGCUGGCCGUGGUCCUACAGAACCUGGGAGCCGUUCACAACACACUGAGCCAGUACCGGCAGGCCCUGGACUACCACCGAUAGACAGCCAGCCUGCAUGUGAGUGGAGCUGGCUCUGCAGAGGUGUCUACCGGAGAGCAGGGGAAGGAGGAGGAAGCCCCGGGUCCAGAUGGAGAACAGGCACACAGUGACGAUGGGAGAAGCAUGUGACUCCCAGUCACCGGUGACAAGAUCUCUCAUUGAGAAGCCGGGGUAUCUGACUGUGCUGCCAAGGGCAAACAGGCAAGGCAUUUAACACACACACACUGUCGUAGCAGAAUUAGUUAGGUAACAUUGAUAAAUAAGAUGUUUUAUCUACUUUCAUAAAUAUGCUUAUGUGGGAAAAGUCACUUGGGGCCCAGAGAGGGGAGAGGUCAGGAUUGUCUUCAUAUGUGAGGGUAUCUGUUAAACCAUGUGAAGGGCUCCACAAUGUCUGUACACCAGUCACUCCCUACUUUUCCCAUUGGGGGAGGAGUAUGUCAGUGUCUGGAACCAUUGUAUGUCCCCUCUGAUGUUGAAACUUGUCUUUCAUAGUAUAUGACCUAGAGGCUCACUCCUCUCAGGGAGCUUGCCCAGGGGUGGGUUGUAUUUGAGAUGGGAGUAUCUAGAAUUGACAAUUGAUAUAUGCCAUUGGAUGAGGUAAUGUUUUGGUAAUAUGAAGUACCAAGAACGAGAAGUAGAACCACGUCUAAGAAUGCAAACUGAACGAUAAUUUAUAGCUAAUGCGGUCUGGCUAUGGGAUACUCCUCUCUCAAGUAAAAGUCUUCCUUUGUGCAGUUUUCCUAAGACCUGUGGUUUGUCAUUGUGAGUUGAGAGGGGUGGAUCUUUGCUGUGAAAGAUCUCAGUUGCCAUUAUGUUGACACUCUCAGAAUUAAUUUAUAGACACUGAAUUGAUCUGAGAGUCAAAGGGCUAUGGUGAAGCUCAUAUUAUUAAAAGAUGAAGUUUAAAGUAUAACUCUGA